This 95-nucleotide ribosomal RNA is filed under the name uncultured bacterium. Its description in RNAcentral is "partial 16S ribosomal RNA". It matches the Rfam family "Bacterial small subunit ribosomal RNA", at positions 1390 to 1482 of the family's 1533-position model. The record is from RNAcentral.
CCGCCCGUCACGCCAUGGAAGUGGCGAGCGCCCGAGGUCAGUGUCGGAACCCGCAAGGGGCCAAGCUGCCGAAGGCGAGCGUCAUGACUGGGGCG